GCUGGGUGUGGUGGUGCACGCCUGUAGUUCCAGCUACUUGGGAGGCUGAGGCAGAAGAAUCGCUUGAACCCAGGAGGCAGAAGUUACAGUGAGCUGAGAUCGCGCCACUGCACUCCAGCCUGGGUAACAGAGUGAGACUCUGUCUCAA
This is an unclassified non-coding RNA of Callithrix jacchus (white-tufted-ear marmoset), 148 nucleotides long. It matches the Rfam family "Metazoan signal recognition particle RNA". Rfam says of the family: The signal recognition particle (SRP) is a universally conserved ribonucleoprotein. It is involved in the co-translational targeting of proteins to membranes. NCBI's taxonomy places the organism in Eukaryota, Metazoa, Chordata, Mammalia, Primates, Cebidae. The record is from Ensembl.